RNAcentral lists this ribosomal RNA (429 nucleotides) under Verrucomicrobiota bacterium. RNAcentral's name for it is "Verrucomicrobia bacterium partial 16S ribosomal RNA". It matches the Rfam family "Bacterial small subunit ribosomal RNA", at positions 355 to 776 of the family's 1533-position model. Lineage: Bacteria; Pseudomonadati; Verrucomicrobiota. The record is from RNAcentral.
UAGGGAAUCUUCGGCAAUGGGGGGAACCCUGACCGAGCGACGCCGCGUGAGUGAAGAAGGUUUUCGGAUCGUAAAGCUCUGUUGUUAAGGAAGAACGAGUGUGAGAAUGGAAAGUUCAUGCUGUGACGGUACUUAACCAGAAAGGGACGGCUAACUACGUGCCAGCAGCCGCGGUAAUACGUAGGUCCCGAGCGUUGUCCGGAUUUAUUGGGCGUAAAGCGAGCGCAGGCGGUUAGAAAAGUCUGAAGUGAAAGGCAGUGGCUCAACCAUUGUAGGCUUUGGAAACUGUUUAACUUGAGUGAAGAAGGGGAGAGUGGAAUUCCAUGUGUAGCGGUGAAAUGCGUAGAUAUAUGGAGGAACGCCGGUGGCGAGAGCGGCUCUCUGGUCUGUAACUGACGCUGAGGCUCGAAAGCGUGGGGAGCGAACAGG